RNAcentral lists this ribosomal RNA (294 nucleotides) under Triticum aestivum (bread wheat). Its description in RNAcentral is "partial small subunit ribosomal RNA". The record is from RNAcentral. Lineage: Eukaryota; Viridiplantae; Streptophyta; Magnoliopsida; Poales; Poaceae.
AUGUCUCCAGAACUUGGGAACGUCUCUUCUCUACAGACAUUAACAUAUUUUGUGGUGGGUUCUAGCCAUGGUUGUAGUACUAUUGAAGAACUACAGGGCUUAAACCUUGGUGGUGAACUAGAACUAUCAGGUCUUCAAUAUGUAAAUCAAGCAGAUGCUAAAGCGUGCGGUGUUGGAAAUAAAGAGAAACUCACACAUUUAUCUCUUAAAAGGUGCGAUGACAACAGUGAGGAACUGACCAACACAGGGAUGCCGUUGAUGCUCUUAAAGCUCAGGUUGCGUUGGAGUUGCUAA